GACGAACGCUGGCGGCGUGCUUAACACAUGCAAGUCGAACGAUGAACCCGGAGCUUGCUCCGGUGGAUUAGUGGCGAACGGGUGAGUAACACGUGAGUAACCUGCCCUUGACUCUGGGAUAACUGCUAGAAAUGGUAGCUAAUACCGGAUACGACCCUCGGCGGCAUCGCCAGGGGGUGGAAAGAAUUUCGGUCAAGGAUGGACUCGCGGCCUAUCAGCUAGUUGGUGAGGUAACGGCUCACCAAGGCGACGACGGGUAGCCGGCCUGAGAGGGUGACCGGCCACACUGGGACUGAGACACGGCCCAGACUCCUACGGGAGGCAGCAGUGGGGAAUAUUGCACAAUGGGCGCAAGCCUGAUGCAGCAACGCCGCGUGAGGGAUGACGGCCUCGG
This 394-nucleotide ribosomal RNA is filed under the name uncultured bacterium. Its description in RNAcentral is "bacterial SSU rRNA". It matches the Rfam family "Bacterial small subunit ribosomal RNA", at positions 28 to 420 of the family's 1533-position model. The record is from RNAcentral.